AUUGAACGCUGGCGGCAGGCCUAACACAUGCAAGUCGAGCGGAUGACGGGAGCUUGCUCCUUGAUUCAGCGGCGGACGGGUGAGUAAUGCCUAGGAAUCUGCCUGGUAAUGGGGGACAACGUUUCGAAAGGAACGCUAAUACCGCAUACGUCCUACGGGAGAAAGCAGGGGACCUUCGGGCCUUGCGCUAUCAGAUGAGCCUAGGUCGGAUUAGCUAGUUGGUGGGGUAAUGGCUCACCAAGGCGACGAUCCAUAACUGGUCUGAGAGGAUGAUCAGGAACACUGGAACUGAGACACGGUCCAGACUCCUACGGGAGGCAGCAGUGGGGAAUAUUGGACAAUGGGCGAAAGCCUGAUCCUGCCAUGCCGCGUGUGUGAAGAAGGUCUUCGGAUUGUAAAGCACUUUAAGUUGGGAGGAAGGGCAGUAAGCUAAUACCUUGCUGUUUUGACGUUACCGACAGAAUAAGCACCGGCUAACUCUGUGCCAGCAGCCGCCGUAA
RNAcentral lists this ribosomal RNA (500 nucleotides) under uncultured bacterium. Its description in RNAcentral is "partial 16S ribosomal RNA". It matches the Rfam family "Bacterial small subunit ribosomal RNA", at positions 30 to 523 of the family's 1533-position model. The record is from RNAcentral.